RNAcentral lists this transfer RNA (75 nucleotides) under compost metagenome. RNAcentral describes it as "tRNA-Asn". It matches the Rfam family "tRNA". Rfam says of the family: Transfer RNA (tRNA) molecules are approximately 80 nucleotides in length. Their secondary structure includes four short double-helical elements and three loops (D, anti-codon, and T loops). Further hydrogen bonds mediate the characteristic L-shaped molecular structure. tRNAs have two regions of fundamental functional importance: the anti-codon, which is responsible for specific mRNA codon recognition, and the 3' end, to which the tRNAs corresponding amino acid is attached (by aminoacyl-tRNA synthetases). tRNAs cope with the degeneracy of the genetic code in two manners: having more than one tRNA (with a specific anti-codon) for a particular amino acid; and 'wobble' base-pairing, i.e. permitting non-standard base-pairing at the 3rd anti-codon position. The record is from RNAcentral.
UCCUUCUUAGCUCAGUUGGUUAGAGCAUCUGACUGUUAAUCAGAGGGUCGCUGGUUCGAGCCCAGCAGAGGGAGC